This 486-nucleotide ribosomal RNA is filed under the name uncultured Sphingobacteriales bacterium. Its description in RNAcentral is "bacterial SSU rRNA". It matches the Rfam family "Bacterial small subunit ribosomal RNA", at positions 894 to 1382 of the family's 1533-position model. Lineage: Bacteria; Pseudomonadati; Bacteroidota; Sphingobacteriia; Sphingobacteriales. The record is from RNAcentral.
CAGAAACUUAAAUGAAUUGACGGGGCCCGCACAAGCGGAGGAGCAUGUGGUUUAAUUCGAUGAUACGCGAGGAACCUUACCUGGGCUCGAACGUAAGAUGACUGUAGGUGAAAGCUUACAUCUCUUCGGAGCAUUUUACGAGGUGCUGCAUGGUUGUCGUCAGCUCGUGCCGUGAGGUGUCGGGUUAAGUCCCAUAACGAGCGCAACCCCUACCCUUAGUUGCCAUCAGGUUAAGCUGGGGACUCUAAAGGAACUGCCUACGCAAGUAGUGAGGAAGCGGGGAUGACGUCAAAUCAGCACGGCCCCUACGUCCAGGGCUACACACGUGCUACAAUGGCCGAUACAGAGGGCAGCUACCUGGUGACAGGAUGCAAAUCUCCAAAGUCGGUCUCAGUUCGGAUCGGAGUCUGCAACCCGACUCCGUGAAGUUGGAUUCGCUAGUAAUCGCGCAUCAGCCAUGGCGCGGUGAAUACGUUCCCGGGCCUU